UACGUAGGGGGCAAGCGUUGUCCGGAUUUAUUGGGCGUAAAGAGCGUGUAGGCGGUCUGGUAGGUCCGUUGUGAAAACUCGAGGCUCAACCUCGAGACGUCGGUGGAAACCGUUUGGCUAGAGUCCGGAAGAGGAGAGUGGAAUUCCCGGUGUAGCGGUGAAAUGCGCAGAUAUCGGGAAGAACACCCGUGGCGAAGGCGGCUCUCUGGGACGGUACUGACGCUGAGACGCGAAAGCGUGGGGAGCGAACAGG
Molecule: ribosomal RNA, 253 nt
Filed under: uncultured bacterium
Lineage: Bacteria
Description: partial 16S ribosomal RNA
Rfam family: Bacterial small subunit ribosomal RNA
Source: RNAcentral